Molecule: ribosomal RNA, 454 nt
Filed under: uncultured bacterium
Lineage: Bacteria
Description: bacterial SSU rRNA
Rfam family: Bacterial small subunit ribosomal RNA
Source: RNAcentral
AACGAACGCUGGCGGCAUGCCUAACACAUGCAAGUCGAACGAGAUCCUUCGGGGUCUAGUGGCGGACGGGUGAGUAACGCGUGGGGACCUGCCCAGGGGUACGGAAUAACUACGGGAAACUGUAGCUAAUACCGUAUGAUGCCGAAAGGCCAAAGAUUUAUCGCCCUUGGAUGGACCCGCGUUGGAUUAGCUAGUUGGUGAGGUAAUGGCUCACCAAGGCGACGAUCCAUAGCUGGUUUGAGAAGAUGAUCAGCCACACUGGGACUGAGACACGGCCCAGACUCCUACGGGAGGCAGCAGUGGGGGAAUAUUGGACAAUGGGGGGCAACCCUGAUCCAGCAAUGCCGCGUGAGUGAAGAAGGCCUUAGGGUUGUAAAGCUCUUUCAGAUGGGAAGAUAAUGACGGUACCAUCAGAAGAAGCCCCGGCUAACUCCGUGCCAGCAGCCGCGGUAAU